Molecule: long non-coding RNA, 727 nt
Organism: Megalobrama amblycephala (Wuchang bream)
Lineage: Eukaryota; Metazoa; Chordata; Actinopteri; Cypriniformes; Xenocyprididae
Exons: 3
Source: RefSeq, a predicted model, not a curated record
AUGGAAGCAGGUGCAGUCAGGCCACCACACGCUCAUCUUAUGCCAUCCGCCAGGUUCGCUUUUAUUGCACUCACAUUCUUGUGCUCUUCAGAAAUGCACUGCAUAAUGUCAGUGUCACGUUCAGACCGUUGGCGACCAAAGGAGUUUUCUGUCACACAGCACAGUAUCUCAUCAAAUUAAGCGAGCUCCCAUUUGUAACACUUUUCAGUUCUGCAAUAUCCCAGCGGUACAUCACAUGGAAUCACACACCUCUGGGACAAGACACACCUCUAUGACGGCUUAUCAUAGUGACACAUCUCAAGACUUAAUCAACACAUGAUUAAUCAGCACUGUUUGCGUGACAACGGCUCUGUCACCAGUAGAACAGUUGAUCCCAUUAUGUCAUAAUCACCAUAUGAUGAUGUAACUCCAAUAUUUGUUUAUAAACAAGCAUCUCUGAUAAUCAGAAAUGAGAUGAAUUAGUUGAGGCAUGUCCAGGAAUAAAGAACUGUUAUGUAACAGCAUUCCUUGUUUUCUAUAUUGUUAGACAGCUCAAUUGAAUUUGUUGCGUUCUUCUAUAAUUUGAUAGUCUGAGUGCGUCAACACUAGUGAAGUUUACUCUAAUAAACAUACAGCCUCAUUAAGAGACUCUUGAGUCUCUAAAUCCCCUACAAAUCCAAUUAAGCUUUGUUAGGGUGAAGGGGCAGCCCAGUGUCCAAGGGGGUGGGGCUUGUGUUAGCCCACUGAA